This 898-nucleotide ribosomal RNA is filed under the name uncultured bacterium. Its description in RNAcentral is "bacterial SSU rRNA". It matches the Rfam family "Bacterial small subunit ribosomal RNA", at positions 1 to 914 of the family's 1533-position model. The record is from RNAcentral.
CGCCCUUAGAGUUUGAUCCUGGCUCAGGAUGAACGCUGGCGGCGUGCCUAAUACAUGCAAGUCGAGCGAACCACUUCGGUGGUGAGCGGCGAACGGGUGAGUAACACGUAGGUGAUCUGCCCAUCAGACGGGGACAACGAUUGGAAACGAUCGCUAAUACCGGAUAGGACGAAAGUUUAAAGGUGCUUCUGGCACCGCUGAUGGAUGAGCCUGCGGCGCAUUAGCUAGUUGGUAGGGUAAAGGCCUACCAAGGCGACGAUGCGUAGCCGACCUGAGAGGGUGAACGGCCACACUGGGACUGAGACACGGCCCAGACUCCUACGGGAGGCAGCAGUAGGGAAUCUUCGGCAAUGGGCGAAAGCCUGACCGAGCAACGCCGCGUGAAUGAUGAAGGCCUUCGGGUUGUAAAAUUCUGUUAUAAGGGAAGAACGACUUUAGUAGGAAAUGGCUAGAGUGUGACGGUACCUUAUGAGAAAGCCACGGCUAACUACGUGCCAGCAGCCGCGGUAAUACGUAGGUGGCGAGCGUUAUCCGGAAUUAUUGGGCGUAAAGAGCGCGCAGGUGGUUGAUUAAGUCUGAUGUGAAAGCCCACGGCUUAACCGUGGAGGGUCAUUGGAAACUGGUCGACUUGAGUGCAGAAGAGGGAAGUGGAAUUCCAUGUGUAGCGGUGAAAUGCGUAGAGAUAUGGAGGAACACCAGUGGCGAAGGCGGCUUCCUGGUCUGUAACUGACACUGAGGCGCGAAAGCGUGGGGAGCAAACAGGAUUAGAUACCCUGGUAGUCCACGCCGUAAACGAUGAGUGCUAAGUGUUGGGGGUCGAACCUCAGUGCUGAAGUUAACGCAUUAAGCACUCCGCCUGGGGAGUACGGUCGCAAGACUGAAACUCAAAGGAAUUGAC